This 201-nucleotide non-coding RNA is filed under the name Mesorhizobium sp. Lineage: Bacteria; Pseudomonadati; Pseudomonadota; Alphaproteobacteria; Hyphomicrobiales; Phyllobacteriaceae. The record is from RNAcentral.
AAUUGUCUCCCGUGUCGUGGUUCUCCGUACGGCGCUGCCGCAGCGGAGCUAAGAGGGAAGCCGGUGCGAUGCCGGCGCUGCCCCCGCAACUGUUAGCGGCGAGCCAACUCCACUCAUGUCACUGAGGCGAAAUAGCCUUGGGAAGACGGGUAGAGGCUAUGACCCGCGAGCCAGGAGACCUGCCACGGCGAAUUACGUCCA